Molecule: ribosomal RNA, 468 nt
Filed under: uncultured bacterium
Lineage: Bacteria
Description: partial 16S ribosomal RNA
Rfam family: Bacterial small subunit ribosomal RNA
Source: RNAcentral
GACGAACGCUGGCGGCGUGCUUAACACAUGCAAGUCGAACGGAAAUGCCCUGCUUUUGUGGGGUGCUCGAGUGGCGAACGGGUGAGUAACACGUGAGUAACCUGCCCUUGACUUUGGGAUAACUUCAGGAAACUGGGGCUAAUGCCGGAUAGGAGCUCCUGCUGCAUGGUGGGGGUUGGAAAGUUUCGGCGGUUGGGGAUGGACUCGCGGCUUAUCAGCUUGUUGGUGGGGUAGUGGCUUACCAAGGCUUUGACGGGUAGCCGGCCUGAGAGGGUGACCGGCCACAUUGGGACUGAGAUACGGCCCAGACUCCUACGGGAGGCAGCAGUGGGGAAUAUUGCACAAUGGGCGGAAGCCUGAUGCAGCAACGCCGCGUGCGGGAUGACGGCCUUCGGGUUGUAAACCGCUUUCGCCUGUGACGAAGCGUGAGUGACGGUAAUGGGUAAAGAAGCACCGGCUAACUACGUG